AAGUAAAAUAAACAAUCAAACUUGUACAGAAGGUCGACACCGAUCGUCAACAAUUUAACGUGUGACUGGUGCAUGUUUGGGUUUAUAGUUGAGCACUGUUCAAGAUGAUGGUGGAUGAUGAUGUUUCUUAGGUUAUCAUGAUUGUAUUGAUGGUUUAUAAUGAUAAAGAAAGAGUGUUUCCAGUUUCUUCUUAGGCUCCAACUUGUGUUCACAGUUAAAUUGAAUGAGGUUGAGAUGAUGAGGGAUAAAUUUAGUUAAACUCUUCCGUUACAAGUUGAUCAAUUAAAGUGUAACAAGGGAGAAACAAUUUUGUACACAGUUUAACGUCAAGUGUAAACAGGCGUAUGUCAACCUAGUCCUUGUUUCCUUGUUUAAAUUUAAAUUGGACACGCGGCCAAAUAAAUAGUUAACACACAAAUCAAUUUAAUAAGCUUCCCAUGGAUAAUAAUCAUUAGUUGAUUUUUAUCUUGCCAUCAGUGUCCAUCAGUGUCACCAGUGGAAUCAAUUGUCUUUUUGUUAGUCUCUCAAUCUGUAGUUGUUUGUGUCACACCAAUAGAGUUGAGUGUUGGAUUGAAAAUUGAGCGUUAAAUAAUCUUCACUUUCCGUUAAAAUUGAUUUCUACAUCAACUUUAACAAUCAAAGUUCACAUGACAAUAAACACUUAACCACUGUUUAACCCAUAAUUAAUAAUUAAUUCAAUUAAACCAAUUUGUUUACUUGUCCAUUAACAAAUAACAGUGAAUAGUUGCAAAAUAUGUAACUGGAGUCGAGGGAAGGAUAUUUAAUUACGACUUGCUUUGUUACAGAGAUUUACCCUUUAGCCUAUCGAUUUCAGCUGAUGUAACAUUAAUCUUAUCACUUUUUAUAUCCUUUCCAUCAUCUUAGAAAUGUGUUACCAUCUUUGUUUUCAUCUUGUUUUUACUUGAGACACUUUACUGUGUUUUCACCAAAGCUUUGGAUUGUGAGAAAAGAAUCUCAUGAGAAUAAAUGGUCACCAUGGACUUAUAGAUUUAAACGAUAAAUGUUCAUGAUAAAUAACAAGGAAAAAGUAUAAAACAUAAGAAGGUGAAAAAGUAGAGGAAAAAUAUACCAUUCAACCUUUUUGUUUUGCUUUUUCCUGGCCAUUUCUAGAUCUGGAAACUCAUGAAAGGAUCAUCCUUCAUCUUUCCAGUCAACUUUGUCCAUACUAAUCAAUCUUACCAUCAUCAAAAGAUGAUUUAUCUUCAUCAUCAUGUUCCUCUUUUCCAUAUCAAAAUCUCUAUGCAUCAUAUUUAUCAUGUUCAUCAUGAUCCAAAUCAUCAACUUCUCAUUCCAAACCAUGCGUACCAAUAUAAAGUCGAAAUAAUUUUCUGGAUUUUUAUUUUCCACUUUAUUCUUCAGUGAUCUGUUCGAAGACGAGAUUAAAUGAUUUUGGUAAACACUUUGACUUGUGGAUAUUGAAUUGAACCCAGAAUGGAAUCGAAAGAAAUGCUGAUUAAAUAUUUUUACCAAGCAAAGGCAAAGUUUGAUCAAAAAGAGAUGAUGGCAAGGAAAAAAAGUCAAGAUUUACAAAGAUGGCGAUGGAAAGUACCUCUGAACAGAAUUGCCUGAAAUGAAGUGUAAGAGAGAAGAUGAUGAAGAUAAAGAUUGUUGGUGUGUCAAAUGAAUGACAGUCAUGCUCUAUGCUGUUAUUUAGCGUAAUGUUUUUUUCUUCUCUCAACUAAUCUGUUUUAUCCUAUCUGCUGUGCUUUCGCCAUCAGAAUCCUAUAAAAUUAUUAUUAUAAUAUAUAUAUAUACUCAGUACCAUGAACAUUGAAUGAGAGAAGAAAAAGACAAAAAAUAAAGAGCAUAAACCUUGUAUACUUAUACUUCAUCUUCUUCAUUUCUCUCUUUUUUUUUGUAACUCAUCCGAAAGCUUUAUAUCAAUUUGCAUUACAAUAGGAUCAACAACAGUUAUCAUCCUGCAUCAAAGUGAAAAAGAAAGCCAGAGACAUUUACUCUCUCCAAGGAGAAAGAAGAAAACAGAAGACAAGAUACAGAAAAAGGAACAGAACCGAAGGAAAGCAUUGGGAUGGCUGUGGAUCCAGGAUCAUCCUUAAUCCCUCAUCUUUUCUAACAACCUUUGAAUCAACCUUUUCUCUAUCUCUUUCCUUUUGCUUUCUUGCCUCCAACUUUUUAAGCUUUUGGAAGAGAAAGUGAUGGAAAAAGAGAGAGGAAAAGAAGAAGAAGAAGAUGAUAAAACCAUUUAAAACCAUCAUCAAUCCCUUCGAAUGACAAUAACUUGACUGUAUCGCUUUUAUAUCCACACUUUGGUUUGGAUGCCUUUUGCCUUGGUUUUAACAAACAAUUACCAAAGUCAUCCUCAUCUUUUAGCUUCCCUUUUCUUCAUCAAAAUCAUCAUCAUAUUUAUCUUUUACUUUUUCCUCGCCCCUCUUCAUCCAAGUUAAUUCCAGAUAAAAUACAAAUAAAUAGCAAAAAGAUGUAUCUUUUUUUUUGUUUGGUAGUCCAAUGGCGUUUGUUCAAACCUUCUGGUCAUGAAAUAUUUCUCUUGUUUUUACUCUUAUUUUUGCUCCUUUCUCAUCUUCUUCGUCACUUUUCCUCCUUCAAUUUCAUCUGAUUGUCUUUUAAACCCAAUGUGUAAACAGGGGUGUUAUUUGUAUCAUCAUUACUAUUGAGUGGCAAAAAUACACAAUAACAUCUAAUACUAGACCAAGAAUAAAAUUAAUGAUAAACAUUUGA
Non-coding RNA from Tetranychus urticae (two-spotted spider mite), 2718 nucleotides. The record is from RefSeq and is a predicted model, not a curated record. Lineage: Eukaryota; Metazoa; Arthropoda; Arachnida; Trombidiformes; Tetranychidae.